GAUGAACGCUAGUUACAGGCUUAACACAUGCAAGUCGAGGGGAAACGAUAGAGAAAGCUUGCUUUUUCUAGGCGUCGACCGGCGCACGGGUGAGUAACGCGUAUCCAACCUGCCCAUCACUUGGGGAUAACCUUGCGAAAGUAAGACUAAUACCCAAUGACGUCUCUAGAAGACAUCUGAAAGAGAUUAAAGAUUUAUCGGUGAUGGAUGGGGAUGCGUCUGAUUAGCUUGUUGGCGGGGUAACGGCCCACCAAGGCGACGAUCAGUAGGGGUCCUGAGAGGAAGGUCCCCCACAUUGGAACUGAGACACGGUCCAAACUCCUACGGGAGGCAGCAGUGAGGAAUAUUGGUCAAUGGACGAGAGUCUGAACCAGCCAAGUAGCGUGCAGGAUGACGGCCCUAUGGGUUGUAAACUGCUUUUAUAAGGGAAUAAAGUGAGUCUCGUGAGACUUUUUGCAUGUACCUUAUGAAUAAGGACCGGCUAAUUCCGUGCCAGCCGCCGCCGUAA
RNAcentral lists this ribosomal RNA (508 nucleotides) under uncultured bacterium. RNAcentral's name for it is "partial 16S ribosomal RNA". It matches the Rfam family "Bacterial small subunit ribosomal RNA", at positions 28 to 523 of the family's 1533-position model. The record is from RNAcentral.